Molecule: long non-coding RNA, 286 nt
Filed under: Lathyrus oleraceus (garden pea)
Lineage: Eukaryota; Viridiplantae; Streptophyta; Magnoliopsida; Fabales; Fabaceae
Description: Pisum sativum (pea) long non-coding RNA (PSAT_LNC037932)
Source: RNAcentral
UUUUUUUUUUUCUUUUUCUUUUUCUUUUUGUAGCAAAUUUUUACAAUUCUUUGGUUUAAAUGACUUUGUGAGGGUCACCUAUACCUGAGUUGCCCUUUUGCUUUCUUUUAUUUAUUUUGCUGGAUCAUUCACUUAUUUGCAUCGGUCCCCUACGUAAAGGAUGCGUAGGCCAGAGUUGACUGCUGAGAUAAACUACGGAGGACUUAUACAGAAAUGAUGAUUAAGGCCAUGGUAUAUGGGGUUUCGGGACUGAUUCCUAUAUUUACGAAGUCUAUGGUGCUAAAAU